RNAcentral lists this unclassified non-coding RNA (371 nucleotides) under uncultured Thelephoraceae. Its description in RNAcentral is "sequence contains ITS1". The stretch from base 1 to 106 matches the Rfam family "5.8S ribosomal RNA", at positions 50 to 154 of the family's 154-position model. The record is from RNAcentral. Lineage: Eukaryota; Fungi; Basidiomycota; Agaricomycetes; Thelephorales; Thelephoraceae.
GAAAUGCGAUAAGUAAUGUGAAUUGCAGAAUUCAGUGAAUCAUCGAAUCUUUGAACGCACCUUGCGCCCUUUGGCCAUUCCGAAGGGCAUGCCUGUUUGAGUAUCAUGAACACCUCAACUCUUUAUGGUUUUCCAUGAUGAGCUUGGACUUUGGGGGGUUUUGCUGGCAUAUGGUCAGCUCCUCUAAAAUAAAUCAGCUUGCCGGUGUUUGGUGGGCAUCACAGGUGUGAUAACUAUCUACGCUUGUGGUUUUUCCACCAGGUAACCUUCAGCAAUGGAGGUUCACCGGAGCUCACAGAUGUCUCUCCUCAGUGAGGACAGCCCUUUGAAUGUUUGAUCUCAAAUCAGGUAGGACUACCCGCUGAACUUAA